This 253-nucleotide ribosomal RNA is filed under the name uncultured bacterium. Its description in RNAcentral is "partial 16S ribosomal RNA". It matches the Rfam family "Bacterial small subunit ribosomal RNA", at positions 524 to 776 of the family's 1533-position model. The record is from RNAcentral.
UACGUAGGUGGCAAGCGUUGUCCGGAAUUAUUGGGCGUAAAGCGCGCGAAGGCGGUCCUUUAAGUCUGAUGUGAAAGCCCACGGCUCAACCGUGGAGGGUCAUUGGAAACUGGGGGACUUGAGUACAGAAGAGAAGAGUGGAAUUCCACGUGUAGCGGUGAAAUGCGUAGAGAUGUGGAGGAACACCAGUGGCGAAGGCGACUCUUUGGUCUGUAACUGACGCUGAGGCGCGAAAGCGUGGGGAGCAAACAGG